This 1550-nucleotide ribosomal RNA is filed under the name Klebsiella pneumoniae. Its description in RNAcentral is "bacterial SSU rRNA". It matches the Rfam family "Bacterial small subunit ribosomal RNA". The record is from RNAcentral. Lineage: Bacteria; Pseudomonadati; Pseudomonadota; Gammaproteobacteria; Enterobacterales; Enterobacteriaceae.
AAAUUGAAGAGUUUGAUCAUGGCUCAGAUUGAACGCUGGCGGCAGGCCUAACACAUGCAAGUCGAGCGGUAGCACAGAGAGCUUGCUCUCGGGUGACGAGCGGCGGACGGGUGAGUAAUGUCUGGGAAACUGCCUGAUGGAGGGGGAUAACUACUGGAAACGGUAGCUAAUACCGCAUAAUGUCGCAAGACCAAAGUGGGGGACCUUCGGGCCUCAUGCCAUCAGAUGUGCCCAGAUGGGAUUAGCUAGUAGGUGGGGUAACGGCUCACCUAGGCGACGAUCCCUAGCUGGUCUGAGAGGAUGACCAGCCACACUGGAACUGAGACACGGUCCAGACUCCUACGGGAGGCAGCAGUGGGGAAUAUUGCACAAUGGGCGCAAGCCUGAUGCAGCCAUGCCGCGUGUGUGAAGAAGGCCUUCGGGUUGUAAAGCACUUUCAGCGGGGAGGAAGGCGGUAAGGUUAAUAACCUUGUCGAUUGACGUUACCCGCAGAAGAAGCACCGGCUAACUCCGUGCCAGCAGCCGCGGUAAUACGGAGGGUGCAAGCGUUAAUCGGAAUUACUGGGCGUAAAGCGCACGCAGGCGGUCUGUCAAGUCGGAUGUGAAAUCCCCGGGCUCAACCUGGGAACUGCAUUCGAAACUGGCAGGCUAGAGUCUUGUAGAGGGGGGUAGAAUUCCAGGUGUAGCGGUGAAAUGCGUAGAGAUCUGGAGGAAUACCGGUGGCGAAGGCGGCCCCCUGGACAAAGACUGACGCUCAGGUGCGAAAGCGUGGGGAGCAAACAGGAUUAGAUACCCUGGUAGUCCACGCCGUAAACGAUGUCGAUUUGGAGGUUGUGCCCUUGAGGCGUGGCUUCCGGAGCUAACGCGUUAAAUCGACCGCCUGGGGAGUACGGCCGCAAGGUUAAAACUCAAAUGAAUUGACGGGGGCCCGCACAAGCGGUGGAGCAUGUGGUUUAAUUCGAUGCAACGCGAAGAACCUUACCUGGUCUUGACAUCCACAGAACUUUCCAGAGAUGGAUUGGUGCCUUCGGGAACUGUGAGACAGGUGCUGCAUGGCUGUCGUCAGCUCGUGUUGUGAAAUGUUGGGUUAAGUCCCGCAACGAGCGCAACCCUUAUCCUUUGUUGCCAGCGGUCCGGCCGGGAACUCAAAGGAGACUGCCAGUGAUAAACUGGAGGAAGGUGGGGAUGACGUCAAGUCAUCAUGGCCCUUACGACCAGGGCUACACACGUGCUACAAUGGCAUAUACAAAGAGAAGCGACCUCGCGAGAGCAAGCGGACCUCAUAAAGUAUGUCGUAGUCCGGAUUGGAGUCUGCAACUCGACUCCAUGAAGUCGGAAUCGCUAGUAAUCGUAGAUCAGAAUGCUACGGUGAAUACGUUCCCGGGCCUUGUACACACCGCCCGUCACACCAUGGGAGUGGGUUGCAAAAGAAGUAGGUAGCUUAACCUUCGGGAGGGCGCUUACCACUUUGUGAUUCAUGACUGGGGUGAAGUCGUAACAAGGUAACCGUAGGGGAACCUGCGGUUGGAUCACCUCCUUACCUUAAAGAA